RNAcentral lists this long non-coding RNA (355 nucleotides) under Lathyrus oleraceus (garden pea). RNAcentral describes it as "Pisum sativum (pea) long non-coding RNA (PSAT_LNC026709)". Lineage: Eukaryota; Viridiplantae; Streptophyta; Magnoliopsida; Fabales; Fabaceae. The record is from RNAcentral.
AAAAGUAGUUUUUAAAUGAAUUUUAAAAUAGAACUAAAAUGAAAAAUUCAUAAAGUCCUUCAAAACACCAAUAAAUGGCCAAGAAAAUUAUGGAAGGUUGGAAAUAAAAUAAGAAGCAUGUAAUAAUUUUUCCAAAAUUUUAAAAUUCUGAAAAGUAUUUUUUAAACCAAUUAAAACAAAGGAGAAAAGAGAAAAUUCAUGGAAAAUAGAAAAUCAGUGAAAUAAAAUGUGAAAAAAUAAAAUUCAGAUGAAGAAAUAUAAAAGAGGAUUUUAGAAAUUAUUUUGUGAUUUUUUUGGAUGAAAAAUGAAAUUACUAUGAUUUAAAAAAAAGAAAUUAAAAAUAAUAAAAGAAAAA